UAUGUAGGUGGCGAGCGUUGUCCGGAUUUACUGGGCGUAAAGGGAGCGUAGGCGGACUUUUAAGUGAGAUGUGAAAUACCCGAGCUCAACUUGGGUGCUGCAUUUCAAACUGGAAGUCUAGAGUGCAGGAGAGGAGAAUGGAAUUCCUAGUGUAGCGGUGAAAUGCGUAGAGAUUAGGAAGAACACCAGUGGCGAAGGCGAUUCUCUGGACUGUAACUGACGCUGAGGCUCGAAAGCGUGGGGAGCAAACAGGAUUAGAUA
This 261-nucleotide ribosomal RNA is filed under the name uncultured prokaryote. Its description in RNAcentral is "partial 16S ribosomal RNA". It matches the Rfam family "Bacterial small subunit ribosomal RNA", at positions 524 to 784 of the family's 1533-position model. The record is from RNAcentral.